GGGUUGUGAGGUUAAGCGACUAAGCGUACACGGUGGAUGCCCUGGCAGUCAGAGGCGAUGAAGGACGUGCUAAUCUGCGAUAAGCGCCGGUAAGGUGAUAUGAACCGUUAUAACCGGCGAUUUCCGAAUGGGGAAACCCAGUGUGAUUCGUCACACUAUCAUUAACUGAAUCCAUAGGUUAAUGAGGCGAACCGGGGGAACUGAAACAUCUAAGUACCCCGAGGAAAAGAAAUCAACCGAGAUUCCCCCAGUAGCGGCGAGCGAACGGGGAGGAGCCCAGAGCCUGAAUCAGCAUGUG
This 298-nucleotide ribosomal RNA is filed under the name Salmonella enterica subsp. enterica serovar Typhimurium. RNAcentral's name for it is "partial 23S ribosomal RNA". It matches the Rfam family "Bacterial large subunit ribosomal RNA", at positions 1 to 290 of the family's 2925-position model. Lineage: Bacteria; Pseudomonadati; Pseudomonadota; Gammaproteobacteria; Enterobacterales; Enterobacteriaceae. The record is from RNAcentral.